Molecule: ribosomal RNA, 790 nt
Filed under: uncultured bacterium
Lineage: Bacteria
Description: bacterial SSU rRNA
Rfam family: Bacterial small subunit ribosomal RNA
Source: RNAcentral
AGAGUUUGAUCCUGGCUCAGAGUAAACGCUGGCGGCGUGCUUAACACAUGCAAGUCGAGCGAGAAAGCUUCUUCGGAAGUUAGUACAGCGGCGGACGGGUGAGUAACGCGUGGGAAUCUACCCUUUAGUGAGGAAUACCCUCGAGAAAUCGAGGUUAAUACUGCAUACGUCCCUCCGGGGAGAAAGGUGGCCUCUUUGCUGCCGCUAAAGGAUGAGCCUACGUACUAUUAGCUAGUUGGUAGGGUAAAGGCCUACCAAGGCGAUGAUGGUUAGCCGGCCUGAGAGGGUGUACGGCCACACUGGAACUUAGACACGGUCCAGACUCCUACGGGAGGCAGCAGUGGGGAAUCUUGCGCAAUGGGCGAAAGCCUGACGCAGCGACGCCGCGUGGAGGAUGAAGGUCUUCGGAUUGUAAACUUCUGUUAAGUGGGAGGAAAUGCCGAUUAAUAAUACGAAUCGGAGCUGACUGUACCAUUAGAGAAAGCACCGGCUAAACUCGUGCCAGCAGCCGCGGUAAUACGAGUGGUGCAAGCGUUAUUCGGAAUCAUUGGGCGUAAAGGGUGUGUAGACGGUAUGUUAAGUCAAUUGUUAAAUUCCCCGGCCUAACCGGGGGCCAACAGUAGAUACUGGCGUGCUAGAGGGUGGAAGAGAGAAGUGGAAUUCUCGGAGUAGCGGUAAAAUGCGUAGAUCUCGAGAGGAACACCAAUGGCGAAGGCAGCUUCUUGGUCCAUUUCUGACGUUGAAACACGAAAGCGUGGGGAGCAAACAGGAUUAGAUACCCUAGUAGUCC